RNAcentral lists this transfer RNA (69 nucleotides) under Microcaecilia sp. PZ-2009. RNAcentral describes it as "tRNA-Trp". Lineage: Eukaryota; Metazoa; Chordata; Amphibia; Gymnophiona; Siphonopidae. The record is from RNAcentral.
UGGAAUUUAGGAUAAUUAAACCAAGAGCCUUCAAAGCCCUAAAAAGAAGCUAAGCCCUUCUAAUUCCAA